RNAcentral lists this ribosomal RNA (442 nucleotides) under uncultured bacterium. RNAcentral describes it as "partial 16S ribosomal RNA". It matches the Rfam family "Bacterial small subunit ribosomal RNA", at positions 338 to 795 of the family's 1533-position model. The record is from RNAcentral.
CCUACGGGGGGCAGCAGUAGGGAAUCUUCCACAAUGGACGAAAGUCUGAUGGAGCAACGCCGCGUGAAGGAAGAAGGCUUUCGGGUUGUAAACUUCUUUUAAGAGGGAAGAGCAGAAGACGGUACCUCUUGAAUAAGCCACGGCUAACUACGUGCCAGCAGCCGCGGUAAUACGUAGGUGGCAAGCGUUGUCCGGAUUUACUGGGUGUAAAGGGCGUGUAGCCGGGCUGACAAGUCAGAUGUGAAAUUCCGGGGCUCAACCCCGGACCUGCAUUUGAAACUGUUGGUCUUGAGUAUCGGAGAGGCAGGCGGAAUUCCUAGUGUAGCGGUGAAAUGCGUAGAUAUUAGGAGGAACACCAGUGGCGAAGGCGGCCUGCUGGACGACAACUGACGGUGAGGCGCGAAAGCGUGGGGAGCAAACAGGAUUAGAUACCCUAGUAGUC